GUAUCGCUGGGGAAUGAUCUAGGAUGCCUGACGUCCCAAUUGGCAGCCUGCAGUCCCGAAGGAGCACUACCUGUUACCACCAGGCAGCAAUCCAGAGCCUCCCCCUCAACCCAUGACCAGGUAAGCGAUAACCCUCUGACGAUUCCCCCUGACCAUACUUCUUAAUGGGGUACCCCUCAAGACUUUGAGCAAGCGCAACGGGAAGAUCCCACCUUAAAAGGGUAUCGGAGGGAGGCAGAACAACCCCAGGGAGACAGAGAUCAGGCAAGGUUUAGCUGGGAAAAG
Non-coding RNA from Pelobates cultripes (western spadefoot toad), 285 nucleotides. The record is from the annotation of a GenBank genome assembly. Lineage: Eukaryota; Metazoa; Chordata; Amphibia; Anura; Pelobatidae.